Molecule: non-coding RNA, 922 nt
Filed under: Osteocephalus taurinus (Manaus slender-legged treefrog)
Lineage: Eukaryota; Metazoa; Chordata; Amphibia; Anura; Hylidae
Description: partial 12S ribosomal RNA
Rfam family: Bacterial small subunit ribosomal RNA
Source: RNAcentral
UGGUCCUAGCCUUGUAAUCAAUUAUUACUUAAUUUACACAUGCAAGUCUCCGCACUCCUGUGAAAACGCCCUUAAAUCCCCAUUAGGGAUAAGGAGCUGGUAUCAGGCACAAUUUAUAGCCCAAGACACCUAGCUAUGCCACACCCACACGGGAAUUCAGCAGUGAUUAACAUUGAAAAUAAGCGACAGCUUGACUCAGUCAAAGUAAAAAGAGCCGGCUAAUCUGGUGCCAGCCGCCGCGGUUACACCACGUGGCUCAAAUUGAUUUCUUUCGGCGUAAAGCGUGAUUAAAGUCAUCAACAAAUUAUAGCCAAACUAAGAUUAAGCUGUGACACGCUUGUAUUUAGGAAAACCAAAACGAAAGUUGCUAUAAUUAAAACAACUUGAACCCACGACAGUUGGGACACAAACUGGGAUUAGAUACCCCACUAUGCCUAACCGUAAACUUUAAAUUACAUCUAUAUCGCCUGGGAACUACGAGCAAAGCUUAAAACCCAAAGGACUUGACGGUACCCCACAUCCACCUAGAGGAGCCUGUCCUAUAAUCGAUAACCCCCGUUCAACCUCACCAUUUUUAGCUUAUCAGCCUGUAUACCUCCGUCGUCAGCUUACCACGUGAGCGACUUCCAGUGAGCUUAAUGCCCAUACGCCAACACGUCAGGUCAAGGUGCAGCAGAUAAAAUGGGAAGAGAUGGGCUACACUCUCUAUUCUAGAAAAUACGGAAGACUAUUUAUGAAACCUAGUCAGAAGGCGGAUUUAGUAGUAAAAAGAGAUAAGAGCGCUCUUUUUAACAUGGCACUGGGGUGUGUACACACCGCCCGUCACCCUCUUCAAAGCUAAUAUGAAGUUCUUAACACACUUAAGCACUACAGAAGAGGCAAGUCGUAACAUGGUAAGUAUACCGGAAGGUGUGCUUGGAAA